RNAcentral lists this ribosomal RNA (270 nucleotides) under uncultured bacterium. RNAcentral describes it as "partial 16S ribosomal RNA". It matches the Rfam family "Bacterial small subunit ribosomal RNA", at positions 30 to 234 of the family's 1533-position model. The record is from RNAcentral.
AUUGAAUGCUGGCGGCAUGCUUAACACAUGCAAGUCGAACGGCAGCGCGGGAAAGCUUGCUUUCCUGGCGGCGAGUGGCGGACGGGUGAGUAAUACUUAGGAAUCUGCCCACUAGUGGGGGAUAGCCCGGGGAAACUCGGAUUAAUACCGCAUAAGCCCUACGGGGGGAAGGCUGGGGACCCGACGCACCACUAGUCCUUUUCGGUCGAACCGAUCAAGGACGGAGAAGAAGCUAUGGUGCNGGGCCGUGGCGCUAGUGGAUGAGCCUAA